UACGUAGGGGGCGAGCGUUAUCCGGAUUCAUUGGGCGUAAAGCGCGCGUAGGCGGCCGCCUAAGCGGGACCUCUAACCCCGGGGCUCAACCCCGGGCCGGGUCCCGGACUGGGCGGCUCGAGUGCGGUAGAGGAGAGCGGAAUUCCCGGUGUAGCGGUGGAAUGCGCAGAUAUCGGGAAGAACACCGAUGGCGAAGGCAGCUUUCUGGGCCGUCACUGACGCUGAGGCGCGAAAGCUGGGGGAGCGAACAGG
This 252-nucleotide ribosomal RNA is filed under the name uncultured bacterium. RNAcentral describes it as "partial 16S ribosomal RNA". It matches the Rfam family "Bacterial small subunit ribosomal RNA", at positions 524 to 776 of the family's 1533-position model. The record is from RNAcentral.